RNAcentral lists this unclassified non-coding RNA (352 nucleotides) under soil metagenome. Its description in RNAcentral is "partial contains 5.8S ribosomal RNA, internal transcribed spacer 2, and large subunit ribosomal RNA". The stretch from base 1 to 120 matches the Rfam family "5.8S ribosomal RNA", at positions 35 to 154 of the family's 154-position model. The record is from RNAcentral.
GAUGAAGAACGUAGCGAAAUGCGAUAAGUAAUGUGAAUUGCAGAAUUCAGUGAAUCAUCGAAUCUUUGAACGCACAUUGCGCCCGCCAGUAUUCUGGCGGGCAUGCCUGUUCGAGCGUCAUUACAACCCUCAGGCCCCCGGGCCUGGCGUUGGGGAUCGGCGGAAGCCCCCUGUGGGCACACGCCGUCCCUCAAAUACAGUGGCGGUCCCGCCGCAGCUUCCAUUGCGUAGUAGCUAACACCUCGCAACUGGAGAGCGGCGCGGCCAUGCCGUAAAACACCCAACUUCUGAAUGUUGACCUCGAAACAGGUAGGAAUACCCGCUGAACUUAAGCAUAUCAAUAAGCGGAGGA